Molecule: unclassified non-coding RNA, 668 nt
Filed under: Hevea brasiliensis (rubber tree)
Lineage: Eukaryota; Viridiplantae; Streptophyta; Magnoliopsida; Malpighiales; Euphorbiaceae
Source: RNAcentral
AUUACAGAAAUUGAGACAAACAUUGAUUGCGAUACUUUUAUCCCAACAAUUGAUUCUACUGUCUUUCAACCUUGGUACUCAUCCUUUCCCAUGGUGGAAAACAGCAUACGAUAUUCCUUUGCAACAUAUGUUCGAGUGAGGAGUUCUGCAAUUGAAUCCCAUGGCCAAAAUAAUGGUCUGAGCCCUGAUAGUGGUUCAGAAAACAGUAAGCUUGAGGUAAAGAAGUUCUCUUUCCUUCCUAAGAUGGUUUUUGAGAGGCAUGAGGAGUUGUUGUAUCUUAGACUUGUUCAAGAUAUCAUCUCAGAUGGCAAUUUGAAGGAUGACAGAACUGGAACUGGUACUUUGUCAAAAUUUGGUUGCCAGAUGCGGUUCAAUCUUCGCAAAACUUUUCCACUUCUUACAACGAAGAAAGUAUUCUGGCGAGGGGUUGUCGAAGAACUCCUGUGGUUCAUUAGCGGUUCAACGAAUGCCAAGGUCCUUCAGGAUAAGGGCAUUCAUAUAUGGGAUGGCAAUGCAUCCAGAGAUUACCUUGAUAAUAUUGGGUUGAAGGACAGGGAGGAGGGUGACUUAGGACCUGUUUAUGGAUUCCAGUGGAGACACUUUGGAGCCGGAGCUAGGUAUACUAACAUGCAUGCUGACUACACUGGCCAAGGAUUUGAUCAGUUGUU